CUACCCUUGACAUACAGAGAACUUUCUAGAGAUAGAUUGGUGCCUUCGGGAACUCUGAUACAGGUGCUGCAUGGCUGUCGUCAGCUCGUGUCGUGAUAUGUUGGGUUAAGUCCCGUAACGAGCGCAACCCUUAUCCUUAGUUGCUACCAUUUAGUUGGGCACUCUAAGGAGACUGCCGGUGAUAAACCGGAGGAAGGUGGGGACGACGUCAAGUCAUCAUGGCCCUUAUGGGUAGGGCUACACACGUGCUACAAUGGCCGGUACAGAGGGCCGCAAACUCGCGAGAGUAAGCUAAUCCCUUAAAGCCGGUCCUAGUCCGGAUUGCAGUCUGCAACUCGACUGCAUGAAGCUGGAAUCGCUAGUAAUCGCGGAUCAGAAUGCCGCGGUGAAUUCGUUCCC
Molecule: ribosomal RNA, 399 nt
Filed under: uncultured bacterium
Lineage: Bacteria
Description: bacterial SSU rRNA
Rfam family: Bacterial small subunit ribosomal RNA
Source: RNAcentral